AAAACUUUAGGUUAAUUAAACCCUAAACCUUCAAAGUUUAAAUUAAAAGUGGAAUCUAUUAAGUUUUA
This 68-nucleotide transfer RNA is filed under the name Orchesella villosa. RNAcentral describes it as "tRNA-Trp". RNAcentral also lists the same sequence under 1 other name. Lineage: Eukaryota; Metazoa; Arthropoda; Collembola; Entomobryomorpha; Orchesellidae. The record is from RNAcentral.